Lolium rigidum is the source of this 796-nucleotide long non-coding RNA. RefSeq lists it as uncharacterized. The record is from RefSeq and is a predicted model, not a curated record. Lineage: Eukaryota; Viridiplantae; Streptophyta; Magnoliopsida; Poales; Poaceae. The transcript has 2 exons.
UUCCCCAUUGUAUCCAUCCCCUGCGUGAGCUGUGAAGUGAGAGGUCGAGCUGAAAAAGAACACAAGCGGCGGAAGCUGAGCGGAGAACUCUGGAUGUGCCGUCUUGGUCUUGUUCCUCCGGUCUCCGGUCUCCAGCCGCAACCCCUCGUGGAUCUCGUUGCUCCGCCACCUCAAGGCCAGGGAUGUGGUGCCUCGACCUGGUUGAGCGCAACGGCGCCUCCCACGCCGGCGUGUUUCCCCCUUGCUAGUCAGACUGGCCGUAGCCUGGAUGGUCUCGGCGGAAGGCAACGUGUGAAUUUGGAGGAGGUACCUAGCGGGGCUAGCGCUGGUCUCACUCCCCGCGCUGGCGAGGAGGAGAUGCUGCGGCGGCGAGGUGGAGGAGAUGCGGCGGCGAGGUGUUCGUAUAAAUUUUGCAAACUAUUCAUGUACAUCUAGGCUGAUGGCAUGCCUGACGAAGCACAUAUGGAGGGGAUGGCAGGAUUGGAAGAAUUCCCACAAACGGGAUUGGAAGAAUUCCCACAAACGGUUUAAAAGCAAUUGCGAAGCGACUAUGAUCCAUCAUGAAGAAACAGUCAGAUUUCUUACCGUCCUUGAGUGAGACCCAUGGCCAUUAUCGUUCCCUGUAUUACUAGAAGAAGCCAUCCGCGACUUGUGUUGAUUGCCUCACUAUUCAAUUGGUUCCUUCUCUGUUCAAUUGGAGGACUAUUCAACUAGAUGAUAAUUUUCCUGUGUUGAUUCGCUUUCAACCUUUUCUAUUUGUUUACGGCAGAUCAGAUUUCUGAUUUUGGCGCGCUGC